This 442-nucleotide ribosomal RNA is filed under the name uncultured bacterium. Its description in RNAcentral is "partial 16S ribosomal RNA". It matches the Rfam family "Bacterial small subunit ribosomal RNA", at positions 338 to 795 of the family's 1533-position model. The record is from RNAcentral.
CCUACGGGAGGCAGCAGUAGGGAAUCUUUCACAAUGGGCGAAAGCCUGAUGGAGCAACGCCGCGUGCAGGAUGAAGGCCUUCGGGUUGUAAACUGCUUUUAUAAGCGAGAAAUAUGAUGGUAACUUAUGAAUAAGGAUCGGCUAACUACGUGCCAGCAGCCGCGGUCAUACGUAGGAUCCGAGCAUUAUCCGGAGUGACUGGGGGUAAAGAGUUGCGUAGGUGGCAUAAUAAGUAGCUAGUGAAAUCUGGUGGCUCAAUCAUUCAGACUAUUAGCUAAACUGUUAAGCUCGAGACCGUUAGAGGUAACUGGAAUUUCUAGUGUAGGAGUGAAAUCCGUAGAUAUUAGAAGGAACACCAAUAGCGUAGGCAGGUUACUGGGACGGUUCUGACACUAAGGCACGAAAGCGUAGGGAGCGAACGGGAUUAGAUACCCGAGUAGUC